This 771-nucleotide ribosomal RNA is filed under the name uncultured Thermoprotei archaeon. Its description in RNAcentral is "bacterial SSU rRNA". It matches the Rfam family "Archaeal small subunit ribosomal RNA", at positions 102 to 856 of the family's 1478-position model. The record is from RNAcentral. Lineage: Archaea; Thermoproteati; Thermoproteota; Thermoprotei.
GGCUAACCUGCCCUUGGGACAGGGGUAACCCCGGGAAACUGGGGCUAAUCCCUGAUAGGUGAGGGCUCCUGGAAUGGGCCCUUGCCGAAAGGGCGCCUGGACCAUGCCUCUAGGCGCCGCCCAAGGAUGGGGCCGCGGCCGAUCAGGUAGUUGGUGAGGUAACGGCUCACCAAGCCUAUAACCGGUGCGGGCCGUGGGAGCGGGAGCCCGGAGAUGGGCACUGAGACAAGGGCCCAGGCCCUACGGGGCGCAGCAGUCGCGAAACCUCCGCAAUGCGCGAAAGCGCGACGGGGCCAUCCCGAGUGCCGCCCGCUGAGGGCGGCUUUUCCCCGGUGUAGACAGCCGGGGGAAUAAGGGGAGGGCAAGCCGGGUGUCAGCCGCCGCGGUAAUACCCGCUCCCCGAGUGGUGGGGACGCUUAUUGGGCCUAAAGCAUCCGUAGCCGGCCAGGCAAGUCCCCUGUUAAAUCCAGCGAUUCAAUCGCUGGCCUGCGGGGGAUACUGCCUGGCUAGGGGGCGGGAGAGGCCGGCGGUAUUCCCGGGGUAGGGGUGAAAUCCUAUAAUCCCGGGAGGACCACCAGUGGCGAAGGCUGCCGGCUAGAACGCGCCCGACGGUGAGGGAUGAAAGCUGGGGGAGCGAACCGGAUUAGAUACCCGGGUAGUCCCAGCUGUAAACGAUGCGGGCUAGGUGUUGGCACGGCUACGAGCCGUGUCAGUGCCGCAGGGAAGCCGUUAAGCCUGCCGCCUGGGGAGUACGGCCGCAAGGCUGAAACU